UACGGGCGGCAGCAGUGGGGAAUAUUGGACAAUGGGCGAAAGCCUGAUCCAGCCAUGCCGCGUGUGUGAAGAAGGCCUUCGGGUUGUAAAGCACUUUCAGUGGGGAAGAAAGCCUUGGGGCUAAUACCCUCGAGGAAGGACAUCACCCACAGAAGAAGCACCGGCUAACUCCGUGGCCAGCAGCCGCGGUAAUACGGAGGGUGCGAGCGUUAAUCGGAAUUACUGGGCGUAAAGCGCGCGUAGGCGGUCUGAUAAGCCGGUUGUGAAAGCCCCGGGCUCAACCUGGGAACGGCAUCCGGAACUGUCAGGCUAGAGUGCAGGAGAGGAAGGUAGAAUUCCCGGUGUAGCGGUGAAAUGCGUAGAGAUCGGGAGGAAUACCAGUGGCGAAGGCGGCCUUCUGGACUGACACUGACGCUGAGGUGCGAAAGCGUGGGUAGCAAACAGGAUUAGAUACCCCGGUAGUC
Molecule: ribosomal RNA, 464 nt
Filed under: Vreelandella stevensii
Lineage: Bacteria; Pseudomonadati; Pseudomonadota; Gammaproteobacteria; Oceanospirillales; Halomonadaceae
Description: partial 16S ribosomal RNA
Rfam family: Bacterial small subunit ribosomal RNA
Source: RNAcentral